This is an RNA transcript of Folsomia candida, 1324 nucleotides long. RefSeq lists it as uncharacterized. The record is from RefSeq and is a predicted model, not a curated record. The transcript is spliced from 4 exons. Lineage: Eukaryota; Metazoa; Arthropoda; Collembola; Entomobryomorpha; Isotomidae.
AACGUAAGUGUUAAUGUGGCUAAUCGCAAAAUAUUUAGGAGAUAUGAGAAAUCUUGGAUACAGGAAAUGUAUUAAUGAUUUUUAUGUUUAUGCUUUGGCACAUUCAUUUUGUGUGAACAAAAAAAGUUUGAUUAUGUAAUCACCCAUCCGGGCUGGCAACUAUGCAAACUAAAUUCUUCGUAUCCGGCCGAAUAUCUUUUUACAUGCUCAAAUGGGAUUAUCUUGAAAGCUAACUAAUCCUUAGUCGUGGUAAACUUUCCUUACGGACUAUGCAUUCACGAUCCAUCCAUCUCCAGGGGAACGAGUGACUGAUGAUCUAGGACCGCAACACCAAAAUAAUCAAUUAAAUAAAGAUGUCCUUCCCACAAAAUUGCGGAGAAUGUGUGGCGGACGGUAAUUAUUGGGGGGUACGAGUAGACGGGUCUGAGAUAUCUGAUCUGACUCUCCAAGCGCCCCACCCCAUGAGUUCCUCAGGAGGGCCAUCGCUACCACGGAGGGCUGCUCGUCUCUCACGACCACGACGACCCCACCUCCUCCUAAAUGCGGAGGAGAAGGGUUCGCCAUGGGUGUGUUUGUUGGUAUGGGAAUCGCCGCCGCCAUACUUGUGUGUGGAAUUGUGGCAACUGUGGUUAUCAGACGCUGGUGGUGUAGACGCGAAUUGUGGCGUGACAGACGCCUCGUCAACAAGGAAGUUUUCCGAAAAGUGGUCGUGAGCAGCCCGGAGGUCGUAUUGUUAAAUGACAAACAAACUACUACUUUAUUAAACAAUUUUACUGGCUAAUUGUCAACCCAAAAAUAACUACUUUCACGACUUAAAAUUCCACACCUUCACUACUGCGUGUCUGCUUGGUAAGUAAAAAGAACGGCGUGCUCUCCAUAUACUUAACACACUAAAAAGAAUAAAGAAUAACCUCCAAUCCAAUCACACCGCUCCUUUCAAAUCUGGGAAUUUGAGACACUUUGUCUCCUUAACUUUUUACAUAAAAAUUCAUACAUACAGCUUUUAACAUAUUAUUAAGUAGCGUCAGCUACUUAUUGUGAUCGUUUUGUCCGUCCGUCUGUCCGUCCGUCUGUCCGUCCGUCAGCAGGAUAUCUCCAGAACGAGUCAAGAUAAUCAAACGCGGUUUUCGCCAUUGUGCUUCUAAUUUUUAGUUCUCGACCGAGUUCGAAAGUGGGGUCAAUCAGACCACACCCCACCGCGCCAGGGGGUGUGGUCCAAAUUAAAUUUAACUGUAAUUUUCAUAUGGGGUGUCAUUUUAAAGGAAAUUUCACCACGAAUUCAAUGGUGUCAAAAUGUUUGACCUCAUGACCUUGAGGACAAGGU